RNAcentral lists this long non-coding RNA (283 nucleotides) under Setaria italica (foxtail millet). RNAcentral describes it as "long non-coding RNA (SITA_LNC001392)". The record is from RNAcentral. Lineage: Eukaryota; Viridiplantae; Streptophyta; Magnoliopsida; Poales; Poaceae.
CCUUCUAAGGCCGGACACCAGGUAUGUGCAUCGACCUCCUCAUCCCUUCCACUUGUGUGACUUCAGGCACCUGAAGCCCUAGAUCUGACCUAAAAAUUCUUGCGGUGGGAAAGGGGAACGCCGAAAUCAGCUUGAUUAGGUGGUACAGUAUUGGUGUUCUUUGUUUAAAGACCUGCUUAAAGAAUCUAGUAUGAUUUCUAAUCAAUAAGCAGCACUACCAGAGUAACAGCAGCACAUGGAAUAUCCUUGCGCAGUUUUAGAUUAGUUCCAUAGUGUUCUUUUU